This 1623-nucleotide long non-coding RNA is filed under the name Sparus aurata (gilthead seabream). RNAcentral's name for it is "lncRNA (ENSSAUG00010025711.1)". Lineage: Eukaryota; Metazoa; Chordata; Actinopteri; Spariformes; Sparidae. The record is from RNAcentral.
AAUCUCGGCCCGAAGCUCCUGGGCUACUGUAACGAUACAUUUCAGGGGGCCAUUUCUUACAUAUUGCACCUUUUAAUAUUUUCCAUUACUACCCUAUUGCCUUUCGUGGUGUAGUUUCUUAUUGAGAGGAGAGUCGUGCUGGGUGUGUUAUCUGUAUUUCAUCAUGUUCAUAUAUUGAUGUGACACGUGAUGAGUGAUGUAAUAACGUUGAAAAAGAGUUUGCUUUAAAUGGUAACACAGAAAGUGUUUCUUAACAACUCAAACUGUGACAAUGCUGCACCGUCCAGAGUUCAUCAGUCAGUGUCCAAUCUGGUGACCUCCCUCUCUUUGCCUCUCUAUCUCUCUCUUAAGUGUUAAUGUACUUUAAGUGACCAAUUAUUUAGUUAGUGUGUGUACGCCUCGGGUGUCUCUCCCAACAAGUGGGGGGGAGGAUGCGGAGAACAGGAGCACCUAGAAGCAGAAGGAGGGGCCCCUCAGACCAGAGUGUAUAUUAGACCCUCACAAUCAGGGUACGAUACCCACUCCAGAUCAUCUGCUGUUUUACCCUCCUCAUCCUGCCGACGCUGAAACGUUUUGGGCUUUUCUUUUUUUCUCCCUCCAGGUCCACUAUGUUGGGACGACUACUUCUUCAGAGUGCAGUUAUUCUUUGGCUGGUGCAGACAGCGCACACAAGGGGUUACGGAGCUGUAUCCGGAGUACCAAAUGGACAGGGGCCACAACAUCAUGGGAGGAGACCUCAGAAUGGUGGAGGUGUAGGCAGAAUGCCGAUGCCAUCAAAAGGUGUGGGUCAGGCAAUGGGCGCUCAAAAUGGAUACGGUGGAUACCCAACAAAAGGAAUAGGCUACGGUGCAGCUGCUGGUGUGACCAAUGGAGGAGGGACAAAAGGCUAUGGAGCAGCAGCUGGUGCAACCAAUGAACAAGGCAGCAAACAGCAGGGAGGAAAUCCAGCAGUUUUACCCAAUGGUAACGGAGCUAAAUCUAAUGGAUAUGGUGUUCCAGGCGGCCCGACCAAUGGACAACCAAUGAAAGGCAACGGUUAUGGUGCGCAAGCUGGUGGAUAUGGUGGACAAGCAACUAAAGGCAAUGGCUAUGGUGCUGGAUCUAAUGUUCCUAAUGGAAAUGGGGCUAAAACCAAUGGUCAAGGAGCUGCAGCCGGCGGCAAUGGAGCAAGACCAAAUGGACAAGGGGGAGCUGGGAGUAAACCUAUGAAAGGUUAUGGCCGACCACCUUUUGGGGCAGGUCCAGGUGUUGGGAUGGGACCCUCCAGAGGUCUGGGUGUACCUCAGAUUGCCAAGAACCAAAGGGCCCAAUCACAUGGUGGAAAUGGUGGUAAUGGUUAUAAUGGCUAUGGAGCUCGACCCAUGGGAGGUUACAAUGGUGGUUAUGGCCGUGCUGGUAUGGGUCUCGGACCUCGGUAUGGAAAUGGAGGGAUGAAGGGACCAAAGCCAGGCUAUGGUGCUGCAGCUGGUGUACCCAAUGGGCAAGGUGCAAAAACCAAUGGUUAUGCUGGAGCCAGAGCCCCCAAUGGGAAUGGAGCCAUGCCAAAUGGGUAUGGUAAUAUUCCAAAUGGGUAUGGUGCCAAACCCAACAGUGAGAUGGUUUACUUCUUUUGAAAAAUCUUUU